AACGGGUGGUAAUGCCGGAUGCUCCAGUUGAUCGCAUGGUCUUCUGGGAAAGCUUUCGCGGUAUGGGAUGGGGUCGCGUCCUAUCAGCUUGACGGCGGGGUAACGGCCCACCGUGGCUUCGACGGGUAGCCGGCCUGAGAGGGCGACCGGCCACAUUGGGACUGAGAUACGGCCCAGACUCCUACGGGAGGCAGCAGUGGGGAAUAUUGCACAAUGGGCGCAAGCCUGAUGCAGCGACGCCGCGUGAGGGAUGGAGGCCUUCGGGUUGUAAACCUCUUUUAUCGGGGAGCAAGCGAGAGUGAGUUUACCCGUUGAAUAAGCACCGGCUAACUACGUGCCAGCAGCCGCGGUAAUACGUAGGGUGCAAGCGUUAUCCGGAAUUAUUGGGCGUAAAGGGCUCGUAGGCGGUUCGUCGCGUCCGGUGUGAAAGUCCAUCGCUUAACGGUGGAUCCGCGCCGGGUACGGGCGGGCUUGAGUGCGGUAGGGGAGACUGGAAUUCCCGGUGUAACGGUGGAAUGUGUAGAUAUCGAAAA
This 533-nucleotide ribosomal RNA is filed under the name Bifidobacterium longum subsp. suillum. RNAcentral's name for it is "bacterial SSU rRNA". It matches the Rfam family "Bacterial small subunit ribosomal RNA", at positions 155 to 703 of the family's 1533-position model. Lineage: Bacteria; Bacillati; Actinomycetota; Actinomycetes; Bifidobacteriales; Bifidobacteriaceae. The record is from RNAcentral.